GACGAACGCUGGCGGCGUGCUUAACACAUGCAAGUCGAACGGUGAAGCGCCUUCCUUUUUGGUGGGUGUGGAUGAGUGGCGAACGGGUGAGUAACACGUGAGUAACCUGCCCCCUUCUUCUGGAUAACCGCAUGAAAGUGUGGCUAAUACGGGAUAUUCUGGGUCUGUCGCAUGAUGGGUCUGGGAAAGAUAUUGUUUCGGUGGGGGAUGGGCUCGCGGCCUAUCAGCUUGUUGGUGGGGUGAUGGCCUACCAAGGCGGUGACGGGUAGCCGGCCUGAGAGGGUGGACGGUCACACUGGGACGGAGACACGGCCCAGACUCCUACGGGAGGCAGCAGUGGGGAAUAUUGCACAAUGGGCGCAAGCCUGAUGCAGCGACGCCGCGUGAGUGAUGGAGGCCUUCGGGUUGUGAACCUCUUUCGCCAGUGAAGCAGUCCUGCCUCGUUUGUGGGUGGGUUGACGGUAGCUGGAUAAGAAGCGCCGGCUAACUACGUG
This 494-nucleotide ribosomal RNA is filed under the name uncultured bacterium. RNAcentral's name for it is "partial 16S ribosomal RNA". It matches the Rfam family "Bacterial small subunit ribosomal RNA", at positions 28 to 507 of the family's 1533-position model. The record is from RNAcentral.